Molecule: ribosomal RNA, 468 nt
Filed under: uncultured bacterium
Lineage: Bacteria
Description: partial 16S ribosomal RNA
Rfam family: Bacterial small subunit ribosomal RNA
Source: RNAcentral
GACGAACGCUGGCGGCGUGCUUAACACAUGCAAGUCGAACGGAAAGGCCCGGCUUUUGUGGGGUGCUCGAGUGGCGAACGGGUGAGUAACACGUGAGUAACCUGCCCUUGACUUUGGGAUAACUUCAGGAAAAUGGGGCUAAUACCGGAUAGGAGCUCCUGCUGCAUGGGGGGGGUUGGAAAGAGUCGGCGGUUGGGGAUGGAUUGGAGGCUUAUCAGCUUGUUGGGGGGGUAGUGGCUUACCAAGGCUUUGAGGGGUAGCCGGCCUGAGAGGGUGGCCGGCCACAUGGGGACUGAGAGACGGACCAGACUCCAACGGGAGGCAGCAGUGGGGAAUAUUGCACAAUGGGGCGAAGCCUGAUGCAGAAACGCCGCGUGCGGGAUGACGGCCUUCGGGUUGUGAACCGCUUUCGCCUGUGACGAAGCGUGAGUGACGGUAAUGGGUAAAGAAGCACCGGCUAACUACGUG